AACGUGAAGAGUUCGCAUUAGGGUUUCCUCCCUGGGAAGGUCUGAGAGUGCAAAGCAUGUAAACACGUGCCGGACUCGAGACGAGUUGCUCGGUAAUCGGACGCGAGAUACGAGAAACGUGUCGCGGUGAUUUGAUCGUGUGAGCGGACAGUGUCUUGCUGUCUGUGAUGUCUGGUCACCGAAGACUUGAAAGUUACUCGUGACGGUAUCGCUAAGCACGAUAUGCGAAACGAUCGAACGAUCGUAACUCAACUCAGACUACUCCUUCACGUU
RNAcentral lists this RNase P RNA (273 nucleotides) under Leptotrombidium deliense. RNAcentral's name for it is "nuclear RNase P". It matches the Rfam family "Nuclear RNase P". Rfam says of the family: Ribonuclease P (RNase P) is a ubiquitous endoribonuclease, found in archaea, bacteria and eukarya as well as chloroplasts and mitochondria. Its best characterised activity is the generation of mature 5'-ends of tRNAs by cleaving the 5'-leader elements of precursor-tRNAs. Cellular RNase Ps are ribonucleoproteins. Lineage: Eukaryota; Metazoa; Arthropoda; Arachnida; Trombidiformes; Trombiculidae. The record is from Rfam by way of RNAcentral.